Cyanistes caeruleus (blue tit) is the source of this 1268-nucleotide non-coding RNA. The record is from RefSeq and is a predicted model, not a curated record. Lineage: Eukaryota; Metazoa; Chordata; Aves; Passeriformes; Paridae.
CUGGACUGAACUGGACACUGGACACUGAACUGGACACAGCUCCAGCCACAGCUCUGGGCAUUGAUCCUCUAUUGGGGCAGGAUCAGCCCGGUAUUGAUCUGACAUUGACCCGGUAUUGAUCUGACAUUGAUCAGGUAUCGAUCGAGUAUCAGUCCCAGUAUUGAUCUGACAUUGACCCGGUAUUGAUCUGACAUUGAUCAGGUAUCGAUCGAGUAUCAGUCCCAGUAUUGAUCUGACAUUGACCCGGUAUUGAUCUGACAUUGAUCAGGUAUCGAUCGAGUAUCAGUCCCGGUAUUGAUCUGACAUUGACCCGGUAUUGAUCUGACAUUGAUCAGGUAUUGAUCUGACAUUGAUCAGGUAUCGAUCGAGUAUCAGUCCCGGUAUUGAUCUGACAUUGAUCAGGUAUUGAUCUGACAUUGAUCAGGUAUCGAUUGAGUAUCAGUCCCGGUAUUGAUCUGACAUUGAUCAGGUAUCGAUCGAGUAUCAGUCCCAGUAUUGAUCUGACAUUGAUCAGGUAUCGAUCGAGUAUCAGUCCUGGUAUUGAUCUGACAUUGAUCAGGUAUUGAUCAGGUAUUGGUCCUGGUAUUGAUCUGACAUUAAUCUGGGAUCGGUCCCGGUAUUGAUCUGACAUUGAUCUGGUAUUGAUCAGGUAUUGAUUGGGUAUUGGUCCCGGUAUUGAUCUGACAUUGACCCAGGAUCAGCCCAGUAUUGAUCUGACAUUGAUCUGGUAUUGAUCAGGUAUUGAUCGGGUAUUGGUCCCAGUAUUGAUCUGACAUUGAUCUGGUAUCGGUCCCGGUAUUGAUUGGGGAUUGGUCCCAGUAUUGAACUGGCAUUGAUCCAGGAUCAGUCCCAGUAUUGAUCAGGCAUUGGUCCCAGUAUUAUCAGGCAUUGAUCCGGGAUCAGUCCCGGUAUUGAUCUGACAUUAAUCUGGGAUCGGUCCCGGUAUUGAUCAGGCAUUGAUCCAGGAUCGGUCCCGGUAUUGAUCAGGCAUUGAUCAGGUAUCGGUCCCAGUAUUAUCAGUCAUUGAUCUGGGAUCGGUCCCGGUAUUGAUCAGGCAUUGAUCCGGGAUCGGUCCCGGUAUUGAUCAGGCAUUGAUCCGGGAUCGGUCCCGGUAUUGAUCAGGUAUCAGUCCCAGUAUUGAUGUGUAUUGAUCUGGCAGUGAUCCGUACUGAUUUGUAUUGAUCUGUAUUGAUUUGUAUUGGUCUGUAUUGAACUGUAUUGAUUUGUAUUGGUCUGUAUUGAACUGUAUUGAUUUGUAUUGAUCUGUA